Molecule: non-coding RNA, 159 nt
Organism: Caenorhabditis elegans
Lineage: Eukaryota; Metazoa; Nematoda; Chromadorea; Rhabditida; Rhabditidae
Source: Ensembl
GAAGCCGCUUUUUUCUCAUUCAUGAAGUUGUUUGUUUGUGUGCUGGGAAAACCGUUUCAAUUUUCAAGAGAUCUGAAACCCGUUUCGGCAUCAUAUGAUCUGAGACGAUCCCUUGAUGAAGAUGAUGAUGAAUUAGUCGGUUUUAAGACGGUGUACUCA